GCGGCGGCGGGCAGGCCCAGGCGGCGGCAGAGGCCCAGCGCCGCGGCCUGCAGCGCCCCGACGUAGGCGCGCAGCGAGAGGCCGAGGCGCCGCAGGUCCAGCACGGGGUAGGCCAGCAGCUGGCCCGGGCCGUGGAAGAACGUGACUCACCGUUCAAGGUGACUGCACCUGAAUUUCUCCACCUCUCCUGAGGUCCAGCAGGGUUACUCACUCUCGACUUCCCCAGCUGUUGCCUGCGUCUCACUCCCAUCUGAGCAGGGCCCCUUUGAAAUCCCAGCCCUACACAGGACUAGCUAAAGAUGAUGUUUAUACAACACCUUUCUUCCUGGAAGAUCUCAGAGGAGGGGCAAUCCACCUACUACUGAAAUGCAGCCACUUCUGCGGAGCAACAGAGCCGUCAUUUAACAGCCUGCGAGUCUGAAGUUAAGCAGGACAACAAUUAUCUCCCCUGCUAUUACAAUAAGUGGCAGCCGCGUUUCAACAACCACAGAUUUUAGAAUGGAAUUCAGGAUCUUUGACUUAUUGUUGAUUCCACCUUCUACUAGCCUUGCUCCUGGUGUGUGGUCCCACUGAUUCCAACAGGACUCCUUGUGGAAGAGGUAUCCACGACAUGACUGUCACCAUGAUGAGUCCUUGGGUUUUGCUUCUGCUGAUGCUGAUGGCUCUGGCUCUGAGCAUCUGUCUGGAUGUCGGCCCUGGAACCUGGGGCUGUGCCAAUUACCGGGGUUACUGCCGGGCCGCCUGCUUUCCCCAGGAGAAUUCUCUGGGCCCCAAGGACUGUGCUGAAGGGUUUGUCUACUGUGUGUCAGGUGCUUUUGGAUAAGAGUGGCUUAGGCCGAGGAGUCGAUGGUAUAUGAGAUGAAGCCCCACGGAGACUUUGCAGGCAUUGGGAAGAACACAAGAUGCUAAUAUCAAUGCUCAAUAAUUAUCAGCAAGUCCCGGAACCUGCACAAAACCUUCACUGUUUCAUUACAAUGAAUAGGGUGUGGAUAAUUUUGGUCUUGAUCCUUCCCAUUGAAAUCAGUGGGAAAAUCCCUAUUGACUUCAAUGGGAGAAGGAUGGGGCUGUUUCUCUGCCUUCUGUAAUUAUAUUUAUCCAGUGUAGCAGCAUAAGUACCAGAUUUGGCUUUAUGAUUUUGGGAACCUUCAGUCAGAUUAUAACCUGCAGAGGGCAAACCCAGCUCUGCUCUCUCUUCUCAUUCCCUAUCCACAAUCUAUCCCUCUUCCAUUUUCUCUGCCAAAUGGACACAUAGGAUAUAGAGUACCGAUCAAUGUGCUCAAAGAUGAAGCGGACUCAAAGUCCCCAAGUUCAUUGUGGGACUGUCCUGCCAACUGGGUGGGUCUGGUACACUGGGAUGGCCCGCAAGUUUCACAUAUUCCUAAAACCAACCCAGAUGUUCUGUGACAGGCCCUGUUUCUUUUGUUUAGGGAUCAAGCCACUACAAUGCUUGACUGAUAUUUCAGUGAUCACUACAGACCCUGCAACAGAGAGGCUCAUUUCUGAAAAAUGAGGUUCUGAUUGUGCUUUAGAUUUCUAACAAAUCUCGUCAGGGUAGGCUGAGGGCUCAUAUACUGUGGUGAUGGGUGCCCCUGUAAGAACACAGGUAGCUAGAUUAGAUAGAGAAAGGUUUCUGCAAGAGAUUAACUAAAAAAUCAGCAAAUAUCUGGUUUCAGGACAUAAUGCAAGAAAAUGUUAUUCUGCCUUUGACGAUGCACCGCAUACAAAUUGUUAUUAUGUGAGUUCAAUACCAUAGACUCACAAUGACUGGCAGACUAUAUGGGAUACAAUCUUUCACCAGUUUGAAUCCAACCCUUGGUCAAUAUAACCAUAUAAGGACUCUCCAGUACCUGAUGUGAAAUGCUUUAGUGGGUCUCAGUACAGAUGUUUUGGAAAGGUAUCCAGAUCACAAAUGCCGCCCAAACUGGCACAAACUUAUUCCCUUCUCUGCAAUAUCAGCAAAAGGACCAAGGUUUGGACAAUUAGUGAGACAAGGUGGGUGAAUAUUUUAUUGGACCAAAUUCUGAAAGCUUGUCUCUCUCUCACCAACAAAUAGUGUUACCUCACUCACCUUGUCUCCCUAAUAUCCUGGGACCAACACAGCUACAAGUGCACAGCAUACAAGAUUUCAGUAGACAUGGAGACUGAAGUCACCCCUGGAAGUGGUCUUUCUGAACUCCCUUCUGACUCUUAGAAGUGUCUUCUCCAGCUCAGGGAGGAGGCAUAUUUGAAGAGGAAACUCACACGGAUGCUGCCAGGAUAGUAGCAGAUACCACAGUGAUAGGCACUGUAUAAAAACCUGAAUAGAACAGAUUAGUUCUGUAGACUAACAGAAGUGUUCAGGGUCCAGGAACUCAUUUCUCCUACCACUGCAUCCAAGUAACUCCCAGUGAAGUCAAGUCGUUAUUUGUAUCCAGUGGCAAAAGAAUUUGGCUCCAACAUUGUCAGUUUGUGGGCCCUUCACCAGCACUACAUUUUCUUAGAGAAGAGCGGUCUAUUCACUCAUCAUGUCCAUCUCUCUGGCUGAUGCAGGAUUGCUCUCCACAGUACUGUAUAUACUCGAGCAUACAAUCAAUGAAUGACCCAACUUGUGGGUGAUACCUUUUCAUUGGACUUACUGGAAGGCAAAAAGAACUCGUGUGUGAUUCUUGACAACUGCUGAUUUAUUAUUUCUAAUUAAGACCAUAGCUGGAUAUUGUUGGCUAUAAUAAUGGGGUGGGGAGAGGGAGUUAUUUUUUGAUAGUGUAAUCAAUUGUAUUCAUUACAGAGCAGUAAAAGCUUUGCUUGAGAAUGUCUCGAGUGUUUCUGGUGGGUGCAGGUUAAAAAUAUCUGAAAUAACAUCUCUCUUCUCUUCUCAGAUUAAUUGAAUUGCAUUUUAUUGUUCAGGACAAAUAAAGGUUGUUUAACU
Long non-coding RNA from Dermochelys coriacea (leatherback sea turtle), 2905 nucleotides. RefSeq lists it as uncharacterized. Lineage: Eukaryota; Metazoa; Chordata; Testudines; Dermochelyidae. The transcript is spliced from 7 exons. The record is from RefSeq and is a predicted model, not a curated record.